Molecule: non-coding RNA, 192 nt
Organism: Arachis ipaensis
Lineage: Eukaryota; Viridiplantae; Streptophyta; Magnoliopsida; Fabales; Fabaceae
Source: RefSeq, a predicted model, not a curated record
GGUGUCAUAUCCCCCUUCGUCUCUCUUCUCUGUUCUCUCUCGUCACUCUCUUCUCUGUUCUCUCGUCGCUCUCACCUCUCUCGCCGCCUUCCCUGCGCUCACUUCGCCGGUGGCAGAAGAAGACGGAACCAGCAUCUUAUCCCUCGGGUGGCGGUCGUCUUCGUCUUCUUGUUUCGGCCAUUAAUUCAGUUG